This 278-nucleotide ribosomal RNA is filed under the name uncultured bacterium. RNAcentral describes it as "partial 16S ribosomal RNA". It matches the Rfam family "Bacterial small subunit ribosomal RNA", at positions 399 to 691 of the family's 1533-position model. The record is from RNAcentral.
GCGUGAGGGAAGAAGGUUUUCGGAUUGUAAACCUCUGUCCUUGGGGACGAAAAAAAUGACGGUACCCAAGGAGGAAGCCCCGGCUAACUACGUGCCAGCAGCCGCGGUAAUACGUAGGGGGCGAGCGUUGUCCGGAAUUACUGGGCGUAAAGGGUGCGUAGGCGGUAUUUUAAGUCAGAUGUGAAAUCCCCGGGCUCAACCCGGGUAUUGCAUUUGAAACUGGGAUGCUAGAGUGCAGGAGAGGGAAGCGGAAUUCCUAGUGUAGCGGUGAAAUGCGU